Molecule: ribosomal RNA, 465 nt
Filed under: uncultured bacterium
Lineage: Bacteria
Description: partial 16S ribosomal RNA
Rfam family: Bacterial small subunit ribosomal RNA
Source: RNAcentral
CCUACGGGAGGCUGCAGUGGGGAAUUUUGGACAAUGGGCGCAAGCCUGAUCCAGCUAUUCCGCGUGUGGGAUGAAGGCCCUCGGGUUGUAAACCACUUUUGUAGAGAACGAAAAGACACCUUUUAAUAAAGGGUGUUGCUGACGGUACUCUAAGAAUAAGCACCGGCUAACUACGUGCCAGCAGCCGCGGCAAUACGUAGGGUGCGAGCGGUAAUCGGAAUUACUGGGCGUAAGGGGUGCGCAGGCGGUUGAGUAAGACAGAUGUGAAAGCCGCGGGCUUAACUCGGGAAUGGCAUGUGUGGCUGGUGGACGAGAGUGGGUGAGAGGGAGGUGGAAUUCGACGUGUAGCAGUGAAAUGCGUAGAUAUGUGGAAGAACACCGAUGGCGAAGGCAGCCUCCUGGGACAUAACUGACGCUGAGGCACGAAAGCGUGGGGAGCAAACAGGAUUAGAUACCCGUGUAGUC